CCUACGGGAGGCAGCAGUGAGGAAUAUUGGUCAAUGGGCGCUAGCCUGAACCAGCCAAGUAGCGUGAAGGAUGACUGCCCUAUGUGUUGUAAACUUCUUUUAUAUGGGAAUAAAGUGCAGUAUGUAUACUGCUUUGCAUGUACCUUAUGAAUAAGGAUCGGCUAACUCCGCUCCAGCAGCCGCGGUUAUACGGAGGAUCCGAGCGUUAUACGGAUUUAUUGGGUGUAAAGGGAGCGUAGGCGGGUUGUUAAGUCAGUUGUGAAAGUUUGCGGCUCAACCGUAAAAUUGCAGUUGAUACUGGCAGCCUUGAGUUCAGUAGAGGUAGGCGGAAUUCGUGGUGUAGCGGUGAAAUGCUGAGAUAUCACGAAGAACUCCGAUUGCGAAGGCAGCCUGCUGGACUGUAACUGACGCUGAUGCUCGAAAGUGUGGGUAUCAAACAGGAUUAGAUACCCCAGUAGUC
This 460-nucleotide ribosomal RNA is filed under the name uncultured bacterium. RNAcentral describes it as "partial 16S ribosomal RNA". It matches the Rfam family "Bacterial small subunit ribosomal RNA", at positions 338 to 795 of the family's 1533-position model. The record is from RNAcentral.